GAGUUUUUGAUGUCGCAGAUACUGCAUCAGGAACUGAUUGGAUAAGAAUCGGUCACCAUCAGUUCCUAAUGCAUUGCCUUCAGCAUCUAAACA
Myotis lucifugus (little brown bat) is the source of this 93-nucleotide non-coding RNA. The record is from Rfam. Lineage: Eukaryota; Metazoa; Chordata; Mammalia; Chiroptera; Vespertilionidae.